UACGUAGGGUGCAAGCGUUAAUCGGAAUUACUGGGCGUAAAGCGUGCGCAGGCGGUGAUGUAAGACAGAUGUGAAAUCCCCGGGCUCAACCGGGGACCUGCAUUUGUGACUGCAUCGCUAGAGUACGGUAGAGGGGGAUGGAAUUCCGCGUGUAGCAGUGAAAUGCGUAGAUAUGCGGAGGAACACCGAUGGCGAAGGCAAUCCCCUGGACCUGUACUGACGCUCAUGCGCGAAAGCGUGGGGAGCAAACGGG
RNAcentral lists this ribosomal RNA (253 nucleotides) under uncultured bacterium. Its description in RNAcentral is "partial 16S ribosomal RNA". It matches the Rfam family "Bacterial small subunit ribosomal RNA", at positions 524 to 776 of the family's 1533-position model. The record is from RNAcentral.